AGUGAACGCUGGCGGUAGGCCUAACACAUGCAAGUCGAACGGCAGCACAGUAAGAGCUUGCUCUUACGGGUGGCGAGUGGCGGACGGGUGAGGAAUACAUCGGAAUCUACUUUUUCGUGGGGGAUAACGUAGGGAAACUUACGCUAAUACCGCAUAUGACCUACGGGUGAAAGCAGGGGAUCUUCGGACCUUGCGCGAUUGAAUGAGCCGAUGUCGGGUUAGCUAGUUGGCGGGGUAAAGGCCCACCAAGGCGACGAUACGUAGCUGGUCUGAGAGGAUGAUCAGCCACACUGGAACUGAGACACGGUCCAGACUCCUACGGGAGGCAGCAGUGGGGAAUAUUGGACAAUGGGCGCAAGCCUGAUCCAGCCAUACCGCGUGAGUGAAGAAGGCCUUCGGGUUGUAAAGCCCUUUUGUUGGGAAAGAAAAGCAGCAGGUUAAUACCCCGCUGUUCUGACGGUACCCAAAGAAUAAGCACCGGCUAACUUCGUG
Molecule: ribosomal RNA, 492 nt
Filed under: uncultured bacterium
Lineage: Bacteria
Description: partial 16S ribosomal RNA
Rfam family: Bacterial small subunit ribosomal RNA
Source: RNAcentral